Molecule: long non-coding RNA, 217 nt
Filed under: Mytilus galloprovincialis (Mediterranean mussel)
Lineage: Eukaryota; Metazoa; Mollusca; Bivalvia; Mytilida; Mytilidae
Source: RNAcentral
CUAGUAGUCUGUUGUUAUUUAUGUAUUAUUGUCAUUUUGUUUAUUUUCUUUGGUUACAUCUUCUGACAUCAGACUCGGACUUCUCUUGAACUGAAUUUUAAUGUGCGUAUUGUUAUGCGUUUACUUUUCUACAUUGGCUAGAGGUAUAGGGGGAGGGUUGAGAUCUCACAAACAUGUUUAACCCCGCCGCAUUUUUGCGCCUGUCCCAAGUCGGGAG